Molecule: non-coding RNA, 198 nt
Filed under: Sporomusa sphaeroides
Lineage: Bacteria; Bacillati; Bacillota; Negativicutes; Selenomonadales; Sporomusaceae
Description: Sporomusa sp. T-box sequence
Rfam family: T-box leader
About the family: Uncharged tRNA acts as the effector for transcription antitermination of genes in the T-box leader family. T-boxes are found upstream of many aminoacyl-tRNA synthetase genes and some amino acid biosynthetic genes usually in Gram-positive bacteria. The anticodon of a specific tRNA base pairs to a specifier sequence within the T-box motif, and the NCCA acceptor tail of the tRNA base pairs to a conserved bulge in the T-box antiterminator hairpin.
Source: RNAcentral
UUAGAUGCAAUGACAGGGCAUGCAUGAUGGAGCGUUUUCAGAGAACUGGCGUAAGGUGCGAGCCAGUAACAGCAUUAUGCUAUCCACCCUCUGAGCAUGCGGUGAGGAGCCGCACGGUCCACGUCCGUUAUGCGUGUCAAGUGGACUGUUGGUAGUCAAGCAGGGUGGCAACGCGGGAACUAAAUUCCCGUCCCUAUC